GGGAGCUUCACAUUCUCUGCUCCCGCCCACCACAUCCGCCCGCCCUCCGCGGUCACGCCUCGGACGGCGAGCACCUGCCAAGCAGUUAAAGAAGUUUUCUCUCUAGUCUUACUGAACCAUGGCACUACCUCCCAACACCAGCAAUCACAUCUCCUUGAAGCCUGAAGAGGUUCUGCCUAAGGACAGAGCUCCCCAAAGACUUCCAGAGGAAUCGAAAUGAAUAUAUGCAAAUUUUCCUUCAUCUUAUGACUUCAAAACUAUUGUCAACCCAUUAAAACUCUUUUCCUUGGUUUUUCAUUUAAUAAAACCUAAUUGUAAAGUCAGUUAUAUUUUAGGUAAUUUUCUCUGAUACCUAGACAAGACUCCUUGAGGCUGAGCUGCCUGAG
This 386-nucleotide long non-coding RNA is filed under the name Lynx canadensis (Canada lynx). Its description in RNAcentral is "lncRNA (ENSLCNG00005011254.1)". Lineage: Eukaryota; Metazoa; Chordata; Mammalia; Carnivora; Felidae. The record is from RNAcentral.